Molecule: long non-coding RNA, 1031 nt
Filed under: Homo sapiens (human)
Lineage: Eukaryota; Metazoa; Chordata; Mammalia; Primates; Hominidae
Description: long non-coding RNA NONHSAT163211.1
Source: RNAcentral
AGGGUAGCAGCCCAAAGAGCAGAUGCCACGGCCACCACCACCGCCAUAGACACACUCUCGUCCUACGGGCCAUGCCUGGGGCUUCAGCCCACAGCUCCGCUUGCCGCGUCUGAGGUUUCUUUACCUCCAGAAAGAAGAAAAUUGACCGCUUGAAUUCUGGAAGUUCAUUGAAGAGUCUGAAAUUAGGGACUUAUUUCAAAUGUGAACAUGGCUAAUCGAGGCGCAAGCAAGACCCUAUGGCUCAAAUACUGGAAAUAAAAUAUGCCAGUUCAAUAUGCCAGUAUUUCUGGGAGAGUCUGCUGUUGGCAAAUCAAGCCUAGUGCUUCGUUUUGUGAAAGGCCCAUUUCAUGAAUUUCAAGAGAGUACCAUUGGGCUGAUUUUCUAACCCAAAAUGUGUGUCUUGAUGACACUACAGUAUAGUUUGAAAUACAGGAUACAGCUGGUCAAGAAUGAUACCGUAGCCUAGCACCAAUGUACUACAGAGGAGCACAAGCAGCCAUAGCUGUAUAUGAUACCACAAAUGAGGAGUCCUUUGCAAGAGCAAAAAAUUGGGUUAAAGAACUUCAGAGGCAAGCAUGUCCUGAUAUUGUAAUAGCUUUAUCAGGAAACAAGGCUGACCUAGCAAAUAAAAGAGCAGUAGAUUUCCAGGAAGCACAGUCCUAUGCAGAUGACAAUAGUUUAUUAUUCAUGAAGACAUCAGCUAAACAUCAGUGAAUGUAAAUGAAAUGUUCGUGGCAAUAGCUAAAAAAUUGCCAAAGAAUGAACCACAAAAUCCAGAAGCAAAUUCUGCCAGAAAAAGAGGAGUAGCCCUUACUGAACCCACACAACCAAACAGGAGUCAGUGUUGUAGUAACUCAACCUCCAGUUUGCACUAGCUAGAAUAGUCUUCUGCUUCUUAAAUGUUAAUAACAAUGGAAUUGGACCAUUUAACCAGCCCAGUAUGACUUCCAAAAGAGACUUAUGAUAGAGUCAAGUUUCUAAUGCAGAAUUAUUUUAAGUGUUUUGAACUUAAUUUUUAAUAACAUGCAUGG